CCGGGCCCAACUAAGCCUAAAGCCCAAAACCAUUUACACAGUCCAAAUCAAAUACUAAAAUUAAAUACAAUUGAACCCAAUAAAACUUGGGCCAAGCUAAACCCAAUUACAGGGCCCAAUUGGCCUAAAACAGCAGAAAUCCUAGCAGCAAUUAACAGCACCACAUUCCCCACGUUCAGUAGCCUCCACACCGUCCCACGUUCAGCACUCCGCGCACGCCACAUGCUCGCACCUGCAACAACCAAGAACAGUAAAGGGUGGAAAAGAGGUUUUUGGGGGUUUUUUUUCUUUUCAUGAUUUUGGCUAUUUAAAGUCAAAUCGAAUCUGUAAUGGGGGUAGCAAAAUUCUGUAUUGAAAAAUUAAAAGAAAAUACAAGAGAGAAAAGAGAUUUUUUUUUGUUUUUUAAGGUGAUAAAUUUUGGUUCUCUUUUUCCUCUGUUUUUUUGGUACUGUUUUCAUUAUUUUUUGGUUUUUCUUCGAUUUCUUAAAACGAAUAAACGAAAAGGGUAAGGUGAAGGGGACUUACCAUUGCG
This 532-nucleotide long non-coding RNA is filed under the name Gossypium raimondii (Peruvian cotton). RNAcentral's name for it is "long non-coding RNA (GRAI_LNC002730)". Lineage: Eukaryota; Viridiplantae; Streptophyta; Magnoliopsida; Malvales; Malvaceae. The record is from RNAcentral.